Molecule: ribosomal RNA, 253 nt
Filed under: uncultured bacterium
Lineage: Bacteria
Description: partial 16S ribosomal RNA
Rfam family: Bacterial small subunit ribosomal RNA
Source: RNAcentral
UACGUAGGGUCCGAGCGUUGUCCGGAAUUAUUGGGCGUAAAGGGCUCGUAGGCGGUUUGUCGCGUCGGGAGUGAGAACUCAGGGCUCAACCCUGAGCGUGCUUCCGAUACGGGCAGACUAGAGGUAUUCAGGGGAGAACGGAAUUCCUGGUGUAGCGGUGGAACGCGCAGAUAUCAGGAGGAACACCGGUGGCGAAGGCGGUUCUCUGGGAAUUACCUGACGCUGAGGAGCGAAAGCAUGGGGAGCGAACAGG